RNAcentral lists this transfer RNA (90 nucleotides) under Alphaproteobacteria bacterium. RNAcentral's name for it is "tRNA-Ser". It matches the Rfam family "tRNA". From Rfam's summary of the family: Transfer RNA (tRNA) molecules are approximately 80 nucleotides in length. Lineage: Bacteria; Pseudomonadati; Pseudomonadota; Alphaproteobacteria. The record is from RNAcentral.
GGAGGGGUGGCCGAGUGGCUGAAGGCGCACGCUUGGAAAGCGUGUAGGCGGUAACACGUCUCGCGGGUUCGAAUCCCGCUCCCUCCGCCA